Molecule: ribosomal RNA, 385 nt
Filed under: uncultured bacterium
Lineage: Bacteria
Description: bacterial SSU rRNA
Rfam family: Bacterial small subunit ribosomal RNA
Source: RNAcentral
AUUGAACGCUGGCGGCAUGCCUUACACAUGCAAGUCGAACGGCAGCGGACCUUCGGGUGCCGGCGAGUGGCGAACGGGUGAGUAAUAUAUCGGAACGUACCUUUCAGUGGGGGAUAACGUAGCGAAAGUUACGCUAAUACCGCAUAUUCUGUGAGCAGGAAAGCAGGGGAUCGCAAGACCUUGCGCUGAUUGAGCGGCCGAUAUCAGAUUAGCUAGUUGGUGAGGUAAAGGCUCACCAAGGCGACGAUCUGUAGCGGGUCUGAGAGGAUGAUCGCCACACUGGAACUGAGACACGGUCCAGACUCCUACGGGAGGCAGCAGUGGGGAAUUUUGGACAAUGGGCGCAAGCCUGAUCCAGCCAUGCCGCGUGAGUGAAGAAGGCCUC